Pelobates cultripes (western spadefoot toad) is the source of this 217-nucleotide non-coding RNA. Lineage: Eukaryota; Metazoa; Chordata; Amphibia; Anura; Pelobatidae. The record is from the annotation of a GenBank genome assembly.
CUGCCACAUGUAGCUCACCACUGUCGUUAUCAUCACCACCCUUUCCAUUAGUAUUAGUUAACAUGCUUGUGUUGUGACAACUUCCACUGCCACUGCCACCAAUGAUAAUCCACAUGCAUAUUCAGCAGCUGUAAGCAAGGUUCUUGAUCACUUUCAGUGUCUCCAAGAAUUGUGUGGCAGGAUUCUGGAAUGUUGAGGAUAGUGCCAGUAAUCUACA